AAAGAAUUUUCUACAUUUUACAAAGAACUAAGAAAAAACCCAAAGAAAGCACUUUGUCCUGGGGAUCUGUGGUCUCGAGCUCUGUUGCUUGUUAAAGCCUUAAAUAAAGUCAAUAUUUUGUGAUGAGACCAUUUUAGAGGACAUGCUUGCAUAUCUGUGAUGUGCCCAUGGACUCCCAACAGAUGCUGCUAUUUUCGUAAUGACAUUUUCUAGCAGCAGAGAUGAAACAAAUAUUGAGGCGUUGAGCUCCUUUCUUUGUUAUAUCAGAUUAGAAUGUAAUGCCAAUUGCAUCCAGCUUCAAACAAACUCAAGGAAUAAAAAU
RNAcentral lists this long non-coding RNA (322 nucleotides) under Homo sapiens (human). RNAcentral's name for it is "HSALNT0136884". The record is from RNAcentral. Lineage: Eukaryota; Metazoa; Chordata; Mammalia; Primates; Hominidae.